This 301-nucleotide ribosomal RNA is filed under the name uncultured bacterium. Its description in RNAcentral is "bacterial SSU rRNA". It matches the Rfam family "Bacterial small subunit ribosomal RNA", at positions 505 to 804 of the family's 1533-position model. The record is from RNAcentral.
GUGCCAGCAGCCGCGGUAAUACGUAGGGUGCGAGCGUUAAUCGGAAUUACUGGGCGUAAAGCGUGCGCAGGCGGUUUUGUAAGACAGAUGUGAAAUCCCCGGGCUUAACCUGGGAACUGCGUUUGUGACUGCAAGGCUAGAGUACGGCAGAGGGGGGGUGGAAUUCCACGUGUAGCAGUGAAAGGCGUAGAUAUGUGGAGGAACACCGAUGGCGAAGACAGCCCCCUGGGCCUGUACUGCCGCCCAUGCCCGAAAGCGUGGGGGCCAAAAAGGAUUAGAUACCCUGGUAGUCCACGCCCUA